GCAGCAWUCRGUGGGUUUCUUGUGUUAAUUACCUAAUCGAUGGCAUUGUUUGUCCCCAUUAGUUGGAUUUUGUAACACGUUGCUUGCGGCGUGAUACAAACAAUGAAGCAACCUUUGUUGUUCAACCUGUUGCUGCUCAUGCAUCGAUGGCUUGGCCCAUGAAGUGUUGAUUGGUCCCUUGGAUAUGGAACAUGAUGUGGGCACAAGUUUGUCAAAGAUCUUGUAUUUGCCCUAUUGAGUGAUUUAGCUUCUUUAAAUGACCGUUGUCCAUGUAUCGACAAGUCGGUGUAUGGAGGAUUGUGUCAA
This 306-nucleotide unclassified non-coding RNA is filed under the name Tragopogon rechingeri. RNAcentral describes it as "partial external transcribed spacer". Lineage: Eukaryota; Viridiplantae; Streptophyta; Magnoliopsida; Asterales; Asteraceae. The record is from RNAcentral.